RNAcentral lists this ribosomal RNA (432 nucleotides) under uncultured bacterium. RNAcentral's name for it is "partial 16S ribosomal RNA". It matches the Rfam family "Bacterial small subunit ribosomal RNA", at positions 338 to 795 of the family's 1533-position model. The record is from RNAcentral.
CCUACGGGGGGCAGCAGUGAGGAAUAUUGGUCAAUGGACGCAAGUCUGAACCAGCCAUGCCGCGUGAAGGAUGAAGGCGUUUGCGUUGUAAACUUCUUUUGCGGGGGAAGCGGUACCCCGAGAAUAAGCACCGGCUAACUCCGUGCCAGCAGCCGCGGUAAUACGGAGGGUGCAAGCGUUAUCCGGAUUUACUGGGUUUAAAGGGUGUGUAGGCGGACUUUUAAGUCAGCGGUGAAAUCUCCGGGCUCAACCCGGAAACUGCCAUUGAUACUAUUGGUCUUGAAUGUUGUUGAGGUGGGCGGAACGGGUCAUGUAGCGGUGAAAUGCAUAGAUAUGACCCGGAACACCGAUUGCGAAGGCAGCCCACUAAGCAACAUUGACGCUGAGGCACGAAAGCGUGGGGAUCAAACAGGAUUAGAUACCCUUGUAGUC